RNAcentral lists this ribosomal RNA (394 nucleotides) under Stramenopiles sp. RNAcentral describes it as "partial small subunit ribosomal RNA". It matches the Rfam family "Eukaryotic small subunit ribosomal RNA", at positions 582 to 975 of the family's 1831-position model. The record is from RNAcentral.
AUUCCAGCUCCAAUAGCGUAUACUAAUGUUGCUGCAGUUAAAAAGCUCGUAGUUGAAUUUCUGGUGACGCGGUUUGGCCUGUUGCUUAAUUGCAAUUUGUGCCACCACCGCUUCGCCAUCUUUUGGUUUAACCAGUCUGGCAUUAGGUUGUCGGGUUGGUGAUACCAAUCGUUUACUGUGAAGAAAUUAGAGUGUUCAAAGCAGGCUUAUGCCGUUGAAUAUUUUAGCAUGGAAUAAUAAGAUAGGACUUUAGUGUUAUUUUGUUGGUUUGCACACUAGAGUAAUGAUUAAUAGGGACAGUUGGGGGUAUUCAUAUUUCAAUGUCAGAGGUGAAAUUCUUGGAUCGUUGAAAGAUGAACUAAGGCGAAAGCAUUUACCAAGGAUGUUUUCAUUG